RNAcentral lists this unclassified non-coding RNA (244 nucleotides) under uncultured Ascomycota. RNAcentral's name for it is "sequence contains ITS2". The record is from RNAcentral. Lineage: Eukaryota; Fungi; Ascomycota.
AACGCACAUUGCGCCCCUUGGCAUUCCGGGGGGCAUACCUGUUCGAGCGUCGUUUCAACCGUCAAGCGCAGCUUGGUGUUGGGCGACCGUCCCCGAGGGGACGCGCCUCAAAGCAAUCGGCAGCACGGCAGCGGCUUCGAGCGUAGCAGAAAACCCUCGCUCUGGAGGCUGCGGCCCUGUUCGUCGGACGAGCAAGUCUUUUAACGUUGACCUCGGAUCAGGUAGGGAUACCCGCUGAACUUAA